AUCCAGCUGACGAGACCCAAAUAGGACAGAACGCAUGUCCUGGAU
Schistosoma rodhaini is the source of this 45-nucleotide non-coding RNA. Lineage: Eukaryota; Metazoa; Platyhelminthes; Trematoda; Strigeidida; Schistosomatidae. The record is from Rfam.